AUUGAACGCUGGCGGCAGGCCUAACACAUGCAAGUCGAGCGGGGGAAGGUGCUUCGGUACUGACCUUAGCGGCGGACGGGUGAGUAAUGCUUAGGAAUCUGCCUAUUAGUGGGGGACAACAUCUCGAAAGGGAUGCUAAUACCGCAUACGUCCUACGGGAGAAAGCAGGGGAUCACUUGUGACCUUGCGCUAAUAGAUGAGCCUAAGUCGGAUUAGCUAGUUGGUGGGGGAAAGGCCUACCAAGGCGACGAUCGGUAGCGGGUCUGAGAGGAUGAUCCGCCACACUGGGACUGAGACACGGCCCAGACUCCUACGGGAGGCAGCAGUGGGGAAUAUUGGACAAUGGGGGGAACCCUGAUCCAGCCAUGCCGCGUGUGUGAAGAAGGCCUUAUGGUUGUAAAGCACUUUAAUGAGGGAGGAGUAGGGUUCGUUGAAUAGGCGGAUCUGAGGACGUUACCUCAAGAAUAAGCACCGGCUAACUCUGUGCCAGCCGCCGCCGUAA
RNAcentral lists this ribosomal RNA (502 nucleotides) under uncultured bacterium. Its description in RNAcentral is "partial 16S ribosomal RNA". It matches the Rfam family "Bacterial small subunit ribosomal RNA", at positions 30 to 523 of the family's 1533-position model. The record is from RNAcentral.